GACGAACGCUUGCGGCGUGCCUAAGAAAUGCAAGUCGAGCGGGGUCUUACGCUGUCCAAAGCUUCGGCAGCGGACUUGUAAGAUCUAGCGGCGAACGGUCGAGUAACACGUAAGCAACCUGCCUCGAAGUUCGGGAUAACUACUCGAAAGGGUGGCUAAUACCGGAUGUGCAUGUGGGAUCGCAUGUUCCGACAUGUAAAGGCGCAAUUCGCUUCGAGAUGGGCUUGCGGCCUAUCAGCUAGUUGGUGGGGUAACGGCCUACCAAGGCGACGACGGGUAGCUGGUCUGAGAGGAUGGUCAGCCGGAUUGGGACUGAGACACGGCCCAGACUCCUACGGGUGGCAG
Molecule: ribosomal RNA, 345 nt
Filed under: uncultured Armatimonadota bacterium
Lineage: Bacteria; Bacillati; Armatimonadota
Description: bacterial SSU rRNA
Rfam family: Bacterial small subunit ribosomal RNA
Source: RNAcentral